Molecule: long non-coding RNA, 4491 nt
Organism: Oncorhynchus tshawytscha (Chinook salmon)
Lineage: Eukaryota; Metazoa; Chordata; Actinopteri; Salmoniformes; Salmonidae
Source: Ensembl
CAUUCAUUCAAGUGGCUUACAUUAAAAAAAGACAAGGCUGUAUGUCAAUUUAAGGGGGGGACGACUCAAAUGUUGGACGGUAGGGGACAUGGUAAGGAACUUAUUUGCUUUACACUUUACACUUUACUAUCAAAUUCUGAGUGAACGGUUAUUCUGUGGACUUCCGAUCUCUGUGUGCAUACCAGCCACCCAAAACAGAAAAUAUCUUUAUUUUUAAUCAACUGUUUUAAACUUUUUCCAAUGUGAAAGCAGGGUUCAACGAGACACCAUGUUGUAAUGACAAUAACUCUUUGAAGGGAGUCUUUCUCUAUGGUCCCGUUGGUCUGGAUGUAGUUAACUAGCAGUACCCUUGUACAGUAUGUGUAUACUUUAAACAAUGCCAACAGGGCAUCCCCCAGACAGAAAUGAAUUUCAAUAUCUAGGAGAGCUGUUCCUGUUCCAUUACUAAUGAAGUAAUUAGCUACUAAAUAUACCAUGACUUAAUCACAGAACAUAAUAUUCAUCCAUGACUGAUCAAAUGUAAUGCGACUGUGUAUCAUAUAUAUUUCCAUAUAAAGGCAGGUUUGAUUGUGUUUGCAUUAUUUAGGCCAGAGGGUGAUUUUCAGCUUUGUGGAUUAAGCCCGUCCAUCACCUUGAGAACAAAAAGAGGAGAGAUAAAUGUCAUUGUGUGCACAGGCCAGAGUACAGCUUCCCCAAAUAGACCAGAAUUACAACUCCUGUUCCCAAUAUCCCACAUUCCGGGAGGAGAGACACUCAGUCUGCAGUUAAAGUGGUAGGGUGCUGCUGCUGUGAAGUCAAAACAAAAACUACUGUAGAAAUAAAAUGGAGGUCAACCAUUAAAUACAUGUUGAUUGAUUAUUCCAUCAUAAUAGAUGAUAAAGUCAAAUGAACCCUCCGUUCCCACCAAUUGUAAGAUUUGAUUCCCAUGGUGACGGUUUUAUAAUAAGUUACCUAAUACGUACUACCAUUAUCAACAUUCUUUCUGUUUUUUUUCUGUGUAUAAUUUUUGACUUUUAUUUUGUCUCAGUCAUUUUUUAACUACAGGGUGAAUGUCUAGUAAUACUAAACUGGUCAAGAAUUCCAGGAAGUGGAUUUUGUAUUUCUGCUCUUAGAUUACAGUUGUCAAUAUGCAGCACAUACUGUACCUAUUUGCUUAACUACAGUGCUGAUACAGGGAACAGGCCAUGGUGGGACCUAGUACAUUCACUUUCACACAGCAGCAACAUGAAACAUCUCCAAUACUUCUAAUGAAUCGUUUCCUUGUGCCAAUGAAAACGCAACCUACAGUAAGUGUGUCUGGUCUGUUUUUGAUUUAUGAUUAGAAUAUUUAUGAAGAGAACCCCUAUUGGCUAUUAUCCUCUGGCUUUGCCCUGAUGUUGAUGCAAUUUCUGAGUUUAAGUUUGACUUGUUUGCUGAUGUUUUACAGCAAGCGAGCCUCUUCCAACCUCAACAGACUCCUAUCAGUCAUCAGCUACAGCAAUGCAUAGACCCAGAUAUGCAGAGAGGGCAGACUCUGGCUAAAGCCGUCUUCCAUUCUUGGUCCUAAUCUCCCACUGUGCUGCUACUACCCCCACAACAUCCCCAGCCCACAGAGGAAGCAAUAACGUGAGCUAAUCAGUCUUUUCGCGACUCGACUGGUAGAGAUACCAAUGCCUUUAGUCUCAAGGCUCCAGGGGCCAGCCUAUCCUACGAUUAGGCAGUGCCAACCCAGCCUCUUUCCCUCUCUGAUAUGGGCACCCACAGCUGUCCUUCUAUUUUGGAGCAUGCUGUGACAGCGGCAUGACUCCCCCCCCCCCCCCCCACCCCACCCCCACCGACGCCCAGUCCAGAACAAUAGACACGCUCAAAUAAACAUGCCAAACUUAGAAACCACUCAGACUACAGAAUACCAGAGCUAUCCCUCAGUCAAUCCUUUUGCUGCCACACAGUAUGUCCAGGCAGGACCAAUCGGCAAGGCCUGGGGUCAACACCAGCUACAACAAACAGAAGGAAAUGUACCUCUUGAAACAUGGAUAAAACAAUGGUCACAUUUCAUUAGUUUGUAUUUCUCUAAACUAUCCACGUGGUCCCUGCUUCAUAUACAAUAUAAAUGGAAAGCUGAAACAAGUGUCUGAAUUAUAUAAAAUAUAUAUAUUUUUUUAUCACAGGUAAAAAUCAAAUCAACAUGUAUUUGUCACAUGUUUUGUAAACAGUUGUAGACUAACAGUGAAAUGUUUACUUAAGGGCCCUUCUUAACAAUGCAGAGAGAAAGAAAAUAGAGAGAUAAUAGAAAAGUAAAACAAGUAAUAAUAAAUACACAAUGAGUCAUGAUAACUUGGCUAUAUACCAGUACUGAGUUGAUAUGCAGGGGUACCAGUACUGAGUUGAUAUGCAGGGGUACCCGUACUGAGUUGAUAUGCAGGGGUACCAGUACUGAGUUGAUGUGCAGGGGUACCAGUACUGAGUUGAUAUGCAGGAGUACCAGUACUGAGUUGAUAUGCAGGGGUACCAGUACUGAGUUGAUAUGCAGGGGUACCAGUAUUGAGUUGAUAUGCAGGGGUACCAGUACUGAGUUGAUAUGCAGGGGUACCAGUACUGAGUUGAUAUGCAGGGGUACCCGUACUGAGUUGAUAUGCAGGGGUACCAGUACUGAGUUGAUAUGCAGGGGUACCAGUACUGAGUUGAUAUGCAGGGGUACCAGUACUGAGUUGAUAUGCAGGGGUACCAGUACUGAGUUGAUAUGCAGGGGUACCAGGUCAUUGAGGUAGAUUUGCACAUAUACAGUGCCUUGCGAAAGUAUUCGGCCCCCUUGAACUUUGCGACCUUUUGCCACAUUUCAGGCUUCAAACAUAAAGAUAUAAAACUGUAUUUUUUUGUGAAGAAUCAACAAGUGGGACACAAUCAUGAAGUGGAACGACAUUUAUUGGAUAUUUCAAACUUUUUUAACAAAUCAAAAACUGAAAAAUUGGGCGUGCAAAAUUAUUCCAAUACUUUCGCAAGGCACUGUAACUAGGAAUCAAGUGACAGAUAAAAAACAGUGGCAACAACAGCAACAGAAAAGUUCAAUGCAGAUCGUCCAGGUAGCUAUUUGGUUCAUUAUUUAACUACCUAUUUAGCAGUCUCGUGGCUUGGGCCUAGAAGCUGUUCAGGUUCCUGUUGGUUCCAGACUUGGUGCAUCAGUGUUACUUGCCGUGCAGUAGCAGAGAGAACUACCUUUGACUUGGGUGGCUAGAGUCUUUGACAAUGUUUAGGGUCUUUCUCUGACACCGCCUGGUAUAGAGGUCCUGGAUAGCAGGGAACUCAGCUCCAGUGAUGUACUGGGCUGUUCGCACUACCAUCUGCGGUCGGAUGCCAAGCAGUUGCCAUACCAAGCGGUAAUGCAGACAAUCAAGAUGCUCUCAAUGGUGCAGUUGUAUAACUUUUUGAGGAUCUGAGGGCCUCCUGAAGGGGAAGAGGUGCUGCUGUGCCCUCUUCACAACUGUGUGGGUGUGUGUGGACCAUGUUAAUUCCUUAGUGAUGUAAGCACAGAGGAACUUGAAGCUCUCGACCCGCUCCACUACAGCCCCAUCGAUGUGGAUGAGGGUGUGCUUGGCCCUCCGUUUCCUGUAGUCCAUGAUCAGCUCCUUUGCCUUGCUGACAUUGAGGGAGAGGUUGUUGUCCUGACAGGGAGUACAGGAGGGGACUAAGCACACAUCCCUGAGGGUAAAUGGUUUGGUCUGGAGAGAGGUGAGUGGCAUAGACUUCUCUUGCACAAUUUGUUGAAGACUUUUUGAGGCUAUUGGAUAAUAUUUUGUGUUUAUCACGAGAAGCCUUGAAGUUGACUUGAAUUAUGAAUAGAAAACGUACCCCAGAACUGUCAGGGUUAUUUGCAUGCAUUACACUACUUAUCUGGGUUAUUUGCAUGCAUUACACUACUUAUCUGGGUUAUUUGCAUGCAUUACACUACUUAUCUGGGUUAUUUGCAUGCAUUACACUACUUACCUGGGUUAUUUUCAUGCACAAAAUACAUGUUUUGAUUUUGCAACAUCUGUUACUAAUAUGAAGAAUAUUCUGAUGAAAACAGGAACUGGCCUGACCUGGUGUUCUGGAGAGGUUCUUUCCCGGUUAACCUGAUGUUGUGGACCAAAUCCGGGACACCUUUGCUGGAUUGUAUACAUUAGAUAUGGCAACAACAUCUAUGGAGCCGACAGCUGUCAGGUACUUGAGGGAGUGAAGCAGAGCACUGAGAGGAUGGCUUGUAUCCUGAUAGACAAGGUUCAGCCCUGCUAGACAAGGUUCAGCCCUACACAACUACCUCCUGAGGCCGAGGAUGCCACUUGAACUCAGGAGCUGUCUAAGCGACCUGGGUGUAUUUGGGGACUACGUCAUGUACAGUCACAGACCCAUCUGUAUACAUUCCAUUCUUGACAACUUUACAGAAAUUACUAUACAACUUCACAGAAAUCGUAUCUAUAAGUUGAGUUGAAAUGAAGUAUACUAUAGUAUACAUUUUUCCAUUAAGUGAAGAUGUGG